UUAACAUUUCUCACAACAGCCCUCCCUCUGGUCACACCUCCACUCACAACCCAAAAUUUAAAGUGUCCCUCUUUUGCCAUUUGAAAAGUUGGGAGAUAAGUCCAGGUAGCAGUGUGUCAUCUGUCCCAUAGGCUGACAUUAUAAGAGGUAAAGUCUUCUGGCAAAGGUACUAGGUACCAGAGUUAUGAAGUAGUCCGUGUCAAAUUUUUACCAUUUCCCUGGGACUUACAAAGCAGAUGAGUUCAGUCAUGUAGUCCAGGAUAAACUCAUGAUUGACAUUAUGGUAGAAGACUCUCCUGUACCUGUGAUUACUUUGUCCAAAGAAAACGAUAGCUUAAAGAUGAACUAGAAAUGAAUAAUUAUAUUCAAGAUCACUUUUUCCCACUUUUUGUGCCAUAAGGAUGUGCAAUGCUUUAUUAACCACAUUUUGUGGAAAGGUUCUCCAGGUUACAUGUUCACAUGGUGGCUUCAAAUGUGAGUCAGUUUUCUGCAAAACAGAACAUUUUCAUGUAGGAAGCCUGGGCUAUUGUGUUCAAGUACAAUCACUCAUUAUCUUCUCAAGUACAUAUGUUCGGAUGGAUAUCAUUGUACAAAUCCAUUACGGGCAGUUAUUUGUCACAAUAUCGAGGUAGCUGGAUUGAUGAAUAUAAAUGGCUAUUUGUGGAAC
Pelobates cultripes (western spadefoot toad) is the source of this 667-nucleotide non-coding RNA. Lineage: Eukaryota; Metazoa; Chordata; Amphibia; Anura; Pelobatidae. The record is from the annotation of a GenBank genome assembly.